GCUUAGGGAACCUAAUUGAUAUGUUGAUAGACUCAUAAAGUUCUGCAAAAAAAGUUGCACCCUUUUGGUUCUUUUAAAUACUUUUUUUUCUAUAUUUCAAAAAAAAAAAAUUCCUCUGAUCUACCUGAAUUUUUCUGUUACUCACAUAAAUUUCUUCAAUUUCUAAAUUAUCUCUAGGACAAAUUGGUUUAGACACUGCUACUCCUACAUUAACAUGCAUACUUUGUGCCCUUAUAUUGGCACCUUAAUCAAUUUACAGCUCAAUAAAUCCAAUUAUUAGGCAUACAAUGAUAACAUCACAAAAAUCUACCAAACAGUGGAUCUCCAAAGGGCAUGACAGAAGCAAUCCCAUUU
Molecule: long non-coding RNA, 354 nt
Filed under: Carica papaya (papaya)
Lineage: Eukaryota; Viridiplantae; Streptophyta; Magnoliopsida; Brassicales; Caricaceae
Description: long non-coding RNA (CPAP_LNC000039)
Source: RNAcentral